AUUGAACGCUGGCGGCAAGCCUAACACAUGCAAGUCGAACGAGUGGCGGACGGGUGAGUAAUGUCUGGGAAACUGCCCGAUGGAGGGGGAUAACUACUGGAAACGGUAGCUAAUACCGCAUACCAUCGGAUGUGCCCAGAUGGGAUUAGCUAGUAGGUGGGGUAAAGGCUCACCUAGGCGACGAUCCCUAGCUGGUCUGAGAGGAUGACCAGCCACACUGGAACUGAGACACGGUCCAGACUCCUACGGGAGGCAGCAGUGGGGAAUAUUCCACAAUGGGCGCAAGCCUGAUGCAGCCAUGCCGCGUGUGUGAAGAAGGCUUUCGGGUUGUAAAGUACUGUCAGCGGGGAGGCGUUACUCACCCAAGAAGCACCGGCUAACUACGUGCCAGCAGCCGCGGUAAUUC
This 406-nucleotide ribosomal RNA is filed under the name uncultured bacterium. RNAcentral's name for it is "partial 16S ribosomal RNA". It matches the Rfam family "Bacterial small subunit ribosomal RNA", at positions 30 to 526 of the family's 1533-position model. The record is from RNAcentral.